GGAUUAGGCAUGCAAGUCGAACGAGGAUAUAUCCUUCGGGAUAUAAGCCGAGUGGCACAAGGGUGAGCAAUGCAUAGAUUACCUACCUUUAGGAUAAGGACAACUUUGUGAAAACGGAGCUAAUACUUAAUAAUACAAAAGAAAAUAAUUUUCUUUUGUCAAAGGGAGGGUAGCAAUACCUUUCGCCUAGAGAGGGGUUUAUGUCCUAUCAGCUUGUUGGUGGGGUAAUAGCCUACCAAGGCGAAGACGGGUAGCCGGUUUAAGAGGAUGGUCGGCCACACUGGGACUGAGACACUGCCCAGACUUCUACGGAAGGCUGCAGUCGAGAAUCUUUCGCAAUGCCCGAAAGG
RNAcentral lists this ribosomal RNA (350 nucleotides) under uncultured Planctomycetota bacterium. RNAcentral's name for it is "bacterial SSU rRNA". It matches the Rfam family "Bacterial small subunit ribosomal RNA", at positions 46 to 382 of the family's 1533-position model. Lineage: Bacteria; Pseudomonadati; Planctomycetota. The record is from RNAcentral.